UACAGAGGGUGCGAGCGUUAAUCGGAGUUACUGGGCGUAAAGGGCGCGUAGGCGGUGCUAUGAGUGUGAUGUGAAAGCCCCGGGCUUAACCUGGGAAGUGCAUCGCAAACGAUAGGACUAGAGUAGAUGAGAGGGUGGCGGAAUUUCCGGUGUAGCGGUGAAAUGCGUAGAUAUCGGGAGGAACACCUGUGGCGAAGGCGGCGCACUGGACCACAACUGACGCUGAGGCGCGAAAGCUAGGGGAGCAAACAGG
This 253-nucleotide ribosomal RNA is filed under the name uncultured bacterium. Its description in RNAcentral is "partial 16S ribosomal RNA". It matches the Rfam family "Bacterial small subunit ribosomal RNA", at positions 524 to 776 of the family's 1533-position model. The record is from RNAcentral.